This 158-nucleotide microRNA precursor is filed under the name Marmota monax (woodchuck). The record is from RNAcentral. Lineage: Eukaryota; Metazoa; Chordata; Mammalia; Rodentia; Sciuridae.
GACAAGAAGAGAAGGAGAGGGAGAAGGAGGGAGGGAGGGAGAGAGAGAAAGAUAUUGAUUUAUAAUAAGAGUUUGUGUGUUUGCCUCCUUCUAUACAUUUUUUCUAUUUUUCUUCUCUCUCUUUCCCUUCUUCCUUUUCACUCAUUUUCCUACCAGCC